RNAcentral lists this ribosomal RNA (494 nucleotides) under uncultured bacterium. RNAcentral's name for it is "partial 16S ribosomal RNA". It matches the Rfam family "Bacterial small subunit ribosomal RNA", at positions 28 to 507 of the family's 1533-position model. The record is from RNAcentral.
GACGAACGCUGGCGGCGUGCUUAACACAUGCAAGUCGAACGGUGAAGCGCCUUCCUUUUUGGUGGGUGUGGAUGAGUGGCGAACGGGUGAGUAACACGUGAGUAACCUGCCCCCUUCUUCUGGAUAACCGCAUGAAAGUGUGGCUAAUACGGGAUAUUCUGGGUCUGUCGCAUGAUGGGUCUGGGAAAGAUAUUGUUUCGGUGGGGGAUGGGCUCGCGGCCUAUCAGCUUGUUGGUGGGGUGAUGGCCUACCAAGGCGGUGACGGGUAGCCGGCCUGAGAGGGUGGACGGUCACACGGGGACUGAGACACGGCCCAGACUCCUACGGGAGGCAGCAGUGGGGAAUAUUGCACAAUGGGCGCAAGCCUGAUGCAGCGACGCCGCGUGAGGGAUGGAGGCCUUCGGGUUGUGAACCUCUUUCGCCAGUGAAGCAGGCCUGCCCCGUUUGUGGGUGGGUUGACGGUAGCUGGAUAAGAAGCGCCGGCUAACUACGUG